CCACGGCACUGGGCUGGGCUGGGCUGGGCUUCGGGCCCGACUGCACCUCUGACUCUGUACCUGGCUCGCCCGUGACC
This 77-nucleotide microRNA precursor is filed under the name Vicugna pacos (alpaca). Its description in RNAcentral is "miRNA (ENSVPAG00000016961.1)". Lineage: Eukaryota; Metazoa; Chordata; Mammalia; Artiodactyla; Camelidae. The record is from RNAcentral.